Long non-coding RNA from Onthophagus taurus, 985 nucleotides. RefSeq lists it as uncharacterized. The record is from RefSeq and is a predicted model, not a curated record. Lineage: Eukaryota; Metazoa; Arthropoda; Insecta; Coleoptera; Scarabaeidae.
UGAUUUAUUUAAAAAUUCGUUUGUGUUUGUGUCGUGUUUAGUUGCUUAGCAACCAAAACUUGUCACUUUUUCUUUAAUCAGUUGUCACUAUGUUUUAAUAAUUGUAUUGUAUUGAAAUGUGCAAUUAAUAUCGUUUUUUAAAGAUUAAGGAGAUAGAAUCGAAGAAAAAAUUAAUUCAUCUCAGUUUCCUGGGACACUUAACAUCACUCCAUUUCUGCAUCAGUCCAUUAACCUUUGCUCUAGAGGUAAAAUAUCUUGGAUAAAGGAUUGAUUUGGAAAUCACAGUACUUGGAAAACCAAAAAAACAACAAUUGUACUCACCCAAUGUCAAAGGGCAUAAUCCCCAUAUAGUCUUACGACACUGCAGGUUAUGUAAGCAUAUGUUCUAUAUAAAGCUGGCAAACACAUCCCUUUGUGAAGGGUGUGAAAUGGAAGAUCAGACGGUAAGGCAUAUUGUUUGUGACUGUCCCAACCUCAAUUUUGGACAUAAAGAACAUACCCUCUGUUCUAUAUUAAUGUUCAUUAAAAUCUUAGGCUGGUUUUCAUAUCCCUGAAUGAACUGUACAUUGUGGGGAAGUACAAAGGGCCCGCUGGGCCUAAGUGCUGUGAAAGAAUUCAUUCCCACAUGCAUAAAAGUAAACAAAAAUAAAAUUAUUUUGAUUAAUAAAUUUUAUAAUUUACCUUGUAUUUCACUGUAAAGCAACAAAAAUGACUUGAUAGUUAUUUGGGUUGCAUAUCUUAUUGGGUUAAAUAUUAAUAUUUUUUUAAUUUAAUUAAAUCCCUACAACUUUUCAACACGCUAAAAUUAAUAUGAAAUUAAUAAAGCUCGAAUUAAACGAAACUUUAUGGCACGAAUUCGCCUCAAAUUUAAACGCAAUAAUGAACUCUAGCUUUUAGUUAUUAGUCACGUUAUUAUGACGGAAAUAUCAUUUCCUUUCACCGUAAACUUUAUUAAAACGUUUUAAUAAAACGAUAUUUUCCGAAA